AAUCCCUAUAAGCUGUCCUAAAAAUAUUGAAAGACUGAGUCUGGAAAACUUCAAAAAAAAAGGGAUGUUUAUUCAUACAAGGUUGUAAACCUGGCACAGAUCUUAAAGUUACAGAAAAUGAAACAAAUUUCUAUAGGUUUUAGCUACAGAAUUAUCCUUGGUUCCAGAAGGCAAAGGUGAUUAUAAAACCACUAUACCCUAAUCACGCUGUCUAUAUUAGAAGGAGAAACUCUUUCCUUCCCUAUCUUUACAGCAAAGAUUAGUUCUAGAAGCGACGGAAUAACCCUGCUCCUCUAACUAGAUUUCCUAUUCCAGAUCAGUAUAAUUCAAUACUUAUCUAAUUUGGAUAGGCUUAGAUUGGCCUGGUUUUGAGGAUGAUUUGUCCCAGUUAGCUUUGCACAGCUGCAGCACGUUGGAAGACUAUAGCCAAAAUGAGGCUCCAAAAUGGAGACUAGACCCUGGUAAAAAAGGGCGGUCCUAAGAUGUUGUACUCUUUGACCAAUCAUUGCAAAGAAAACUGCAGCCAGCUCUUGCAGACUCCAAGCCACUUUUCCUGGGCUUUUGCAGCCAGAGGCUGAAACAAAAUGCAAAGGAGGGAAAACAAACAAACGACCAAUAGAAAUGCAAACCAGGGUUUAAAAGACAUCAGCAAUUGGCUAUUUGGGUAACUUACAAACAUCUGAUGGUUAUCAAGAGUCUCUGCUUAAUUUAAGUUGGAUCGUAGCUGGACUGAUUCAAACAAAACCGUAUUAUUCCCCCACUAUUGCUCUUAUUGAACUGGGAAGCUGAGGGUGACUUGCCCAAAGUCACUUAGGAUGUUGUGGAUAGCUUGGAAAGUGAGAAUGAGGAUGAGGAGAUGCUGCUGGAAGGCUCAGUGAUCAAGAUGGAGCCCAACAACUCAGCCCAACUUUGAAGCAGCACCCAUGGAAAGAGCUAUUACUUCUCAGACUUCAGAACAAGUGCAAGCAAAUUCCUCUGAGCAGGCUUAGGAAGAUUUAACUAUUCUAGCUUUUGUGGACCUGCAAAGAAAGAGGUCUCAGUUGUACAGAUCUUUCAGAUUAGCUGAGAAGCGAAUCAGCAGCAGACAACACUUGUGAAUUUAGGAUGUCAGGAGCUAAAGAGUGGCACCUUGUUGUUGGCUGCAACGUCAGUUUUAGAAGCUAUGAGCUCAGACUCUUGCUAUAUUGUAUUCCUGAAUUCUGGACUUCCCCUUGGACCUCGGCUACAGAUUCUGAUUCAACCUCUUACUCUGAACUCUGAUAUUUUGGCUUAUCACCCUGGAACAGACAUUCGGCUUCUCUGUUGUGUUAUCCUGCUAAUGUUUGCCUCUCUGUUAGACUAAUGCUCAAAUCAUUACACCAUGCUGGUUCUUGUGAUAGGAAGUGGCUUGGGCUUUAUUGAUUGUUACACUGCAAUUUUAUAAAUG
Molecule: long non-coding RNA, 1426 nt
Organism: Anolis carolinensis (green anole)
Lineage: Eukaryota; Metazoa; Chordata; Lepidosauria; Squamata; Anolidae
Exons: 3
Source: RefSeq, a predicted model, not a curated record